AUUUGGCGGACGGGUGAGUAACACGUAUCCAACCUGGCCUUUACAAUGGGAUAGGCUUUCGAAAGAAAGAUUAAUACUGUAUGUUCCGUGAUCUCCGCAUGGAGAUUCCGGCAAAGAUUUAUCAGUAAAGGAUGGGGAUGCGUUCCAUUAGGCAGUAGGCGGGGUAACGGCCCACCUAACCAACGAUGGAUAGGGGUUCUGAGAGGAAGGUCCCCCACAUUGGAACUGAGACACGGUCCAAACUCCUACGGGAGGCAGCAGUGAGGAAUAUUGGUCAAUGGGCGAGAGCCUGAACCAGCCAAGUAGCGUGCAGGAAGACGGCCCUAUGGGUUGUAAACUGCUUUUAUCAGGGAAUAAUAGUUGGUACGUGUACCGACCUGAAGGUACCUGAAGAAUAAGCAUCGGCUAACUCCGUGCCAGCAGCCGGGGUAAUAAU
Molecule: ribosomal RNA, 436 nt
Filed under: uncultured bacterium
Lineage: Bacteria
Description: bacterial SSU rRNA
Rfam family: Bacterial small subunit ribosomal RNA
Source: RNAcentral